This 447-nucleotide ribosomal RNA is filed under the name uncultured Acidovorax sp. RNAcentral describes it as "bacterial SSU rRNA". It matches the Rfam family "Bacterial small subunit ribosomal RNA", at positions 930 to 1382 of the family's 1533-position model. The record is from RNAcentral. Lineage: Bacteria; Pseudomonadati; Pseudomonadota; Betaproteobacteria; Burkholderiales; Comamonadaceae.
CGGUGGAUGAUGUGGUUUAAUUCGAUGCAACGCGAAAACCUUACCACCUUGACAUGUACGGAAUCCUUAGAGAUAGAGGAGUGCCGAAGAGAACCGUAACACAGGUGCUGCAUGGCUGUCGUCAGCUCGUGUCGUGAGAUGUUGGGUUAAGUCCCGCAACGAGCGCAACCCUUGUCAUUAGUUGCUACAUUCAGUUGGGGCACUCUAAUGAGACUGCCGGUGACAAAUCGGAGGAAGGUGGGGAUGACGUCAAGUCCUCAUGGCCCUUAUAGGUGGGGCUACACACGUCAUACAAUGGAUGGUACAAAGGGUCGCCAACCCGCGAGGGGGAGCCAAUCCCAUAAAGCCAUUCGUAGUCCGGAUCGCAGUCUGCAACUCGACUGCGUGAAGUCGGAAUCGCUAGUAAUCGUGGAUCAGAAUGUCACGGUGAAUACGUUCCCGGGUCUU